AUGAGAAGGAGAAGAAGGAGACGGAAAAGAAGAAGGAAAAGGAGAAGAAGGAGAAGAAAAAGAAGGAGAAGGAGAAGACGGAGAAGGAGAAGACGGAAAAGAAGGAGAAGAAGGAGGAGGAGAAGGAGAAGAAGACGGAAAAGAAGGAAAAGGAGAAGAAGGAGAAGGAGGAGGAGAAGAAGGAGAAGAAGAAGAUGGAAAAGAAGGAGGAGACGGAAAAGAAGGAGGAGAAGGAGAAGAAGGAGACGGAAAAGAAGGAGGAGAAGGAGACGGAAAAGGAGAAGGAAAAGGAGAAGGAGAAGACGGAAAGAAGGAGAAGAAGGAGAAGAAGGAGGAGAAGGAAAAGGAGACGGAGAAGAAGGAAAAGGAGAAGAAGAAGGAAAAGGAGAAGGAGACGGAAAGAAGGAGAAGAAGGAGAAGAAGAAGGAGAAGAAGAAUGAGAAGGAGAAGAAGGAAAAGGAGAAGAAGGAGACGGAAAAGAAGAAAAAGAAGGAGAAGAAGAAGGAAAAGGAGAAGAAGGAGAAGACGGAGAAGGAGAAGACUGAGAAGGAGAAGACGGAAAAGAAGAAGGAGAAGAAGACGGAAAAGAAGGAAAAGGAGAAGAAGGAGAAGGAGGAGGAGAAGAAGGAGAAGAAGAAGAUGGAAAAGAAGGAGGAGAUGGAAAAGAAGGAGAAGAAGGAGACGGAAAAGAAGGAGAAGAAGGAGACGGAAAAGGAGAAGGAAAAGGAGAAGAAGGAGAAGGAGAAGAAAGAAAAAGGAGAAGGAGAAGAAGAAGACGGAAAAGAAGGAGAAGGAAAAGGAGAAGGAAAAGGAGAGAAGGAAAAGGAGAAGAAGGAGAAGAAGAAGAAGGAAAAGGAGGAGACGGAAAAGAAGGAGGAGAAGGAGAAGAAGACGGAAAAGGAGAAGAAGGAAAAGGAGAAGAAGGAAAAGGAGAAGAAGGAGAAGAAGGAAAAGAAGGAGGAGAAGAAGGAGAAGGAGAAGAAAAAGAAGGAGAAGAAGAAGACGGAAAAGGAGAAGAAGAAGAAGACGGAAAAGAAGGAAAAGGAGGAAAAGGAGAAGAAGCAGGAAAAGAAGGAGAAGAAGCAGGAAAAGGAGAAGGAAAAGAAGUACGAAAAGAAGAAGACGGAAAAGAAGGAGAAGGAGAAGAAGAAGACGGAAAAGAAGGAGAAGAAGGAGAAGAAAAAGAAGACGGAAAAGAAGGAAAAGGAGAAGAAGCAGGAAAAGAAGGAGGAAAGAAGAAGGAGAAGAAGGAGGAAAAGAAGGAGAAGAAGAAGACGGAAAAGAAGGAGAAGGAGAAGAAGAAGACGGAAAAGAAGGAGAAGAAAAAGAAGACGGAAAAGAAGGAAAAGGAGAAGAAGCAGGAAAAGAAGGAAAAGAAGAAGGAGGAAAGAAGAAGGAGAAGAAGGAGGAAAAGAAGGAGAGAAGACGGAAAAGAAGGAGAAGGAGAAGAAGAAGACGGAAAAGAAGAAGAAGGAGAAGAAGAAGGAGAAGGAGAAGAAGAAGACGGAAAAGAAGGAGAAGGAGAAGGAGAAGAAGCAGGAAAAGAAGAAGGAAAAGGAGGAGGAGGAGAAGAAGAAGGAGGAGAAGGAGAAGAAGAAGACGGAAAAGAAGGAGAAGAAGGAAAAGGAGAAGGAAAAGAAGGAGAAGAAGGAGAAGAAGGAGAAGAAGAAAUCUAUCAAUGGAAAAAAUGUUUUAAUAUAA
This 1701-nucleotide long non-coding RNA is filed under the name Cottoperca gobio. RNAcentral's name for it is "lncRNA (ENSCGOG00000003057.1)". Lineage: Eukaryota; Metazoa; Chordata; Actinopteri; Perciformes; Bovichtidae. The record is from RNAcentral.